CAGAGAGAGGAGACUGGAAAGAGAAAGUGGAACAGAGGGGAGUGUCAAAGAGAAGGAGCGAAUAAGGUUUAUAAAGGGCCAGGAAAAGAGCGUCACAAAUUGUGGGUCAAGAGGGGGAGAGAGGGAACAUGUGAAAGGAGAAUUUGAAUAUUGGUGUCAAAUGUCUGAAGAGCAGCGUACGCGGCCUUAGAGAGACGAUGGGUCCGGCUCUGCGAUCUGUGAGUUUGCAGGGCAGCAAGAUGCCGGAGCGUCUGUGGCUGCUUCUCACCCUUCUGACCCUCCCGCACUACGGGCGCUCUCAGACUCUCCACCAGACCCCCCGAUUCCUUGCUCUGCCCCCCGGCUCCUCUGUCCAGCUGCACUGCUACCUGCAGGGAUACAGUUCAAGCCCCUGGAUGUACUGGUACCGGCAGCCGCCCCAGGGGGGAGCCCUGCACGCGCUCGUUCUCUCCAGAGGCGAGGAUUCGAUUGACGCCAGUUCGGAGAGACACUUUCGGGCUGCCCGACCGACCCAGCAGAACUUCACGCUGGACACAGACGGCCUCUUCCCCAACGACACGGGGCUGUAUUACUGCGCCUGGAGCCGCACACCGAGCCGAGCGGGUGCAGCCCCUGGACAAAAACUCCCCCUCCCCCCGCCGCUGUGAGGAGCUGAGCUGAGAUCAGGUUUCACCCACUAGCUCAGGCCCCUGCCCUGUCCCCUCCCACAGACCCGGUGAGUCACAGCCCCAGCUUCUCCCUUCGUUCCUUGACGCGGAGCGUCUGUGUCAUGUUUCCUCACAGCUGUUAGCGAUGGAAGAGAUGUCUGAGGCCUCAUCUGAUCCAAGCCCUUUCCAGCCACGGCAGGAUUAUUCCCUGUGAUGUAUUCACCAGCCUAGGUAUAAAUGGACAUUAUUUUCUCCCUCCAGGGGGACUACUGCCUGUCUCACACACACCUCGCCUUCAGGGAACAUUUCCCAUUUCUCCAGACGAAAAGGUCCCCUUUGCUCAGUUGGCUCUGGUUCUGCGACCUUUUGACCACAGAUGGAGUGGAGAGGAGAUUUCAGCUUGAUAUUAGGGAAUCAUGAAAGAAACCUCAGAGAGACAGAGAGUGAGAGAGGGAGUAUAUGAAAUGGGUUAAACUGCCCCAGGUCAUGCAAUGAUUUGCUGACAGAGCUAGGGGAUAAAAACUGGAGUCCUGACUCCCAGGCUCCUGCCCUUCCCAGCAGAACUACCCCUUUUUGUACUGGUACCAGCUAUUAGAGGUAGGAUGUGCUGGAAAUUGACCAAUGAGCUAAAGUAAUGAAAACCAGCUUUUGCCAAGGUUUAAACAGUUGCAUGUCCUUUUAAAGGUCUAUGCCAGCUCAUGUUAUGGCUGAAUUUAUCCCCUCUGUUUGUAUCUCUUGUUGGCAGUGUAUGCUUUCCAUGCACUGGAGCAGUUUUACAUUGCAGGCAGUGGAGCUGUCUCCAAAUGGGCUGAUAUAAAAUCACUCAUGUUAUCUCAGUAAGAGAAUAUGAGUCUUUUGACCAAAUCUAGCAACUGCUUACGGGAUUCUGGCCUCCCCAUGGAGCACUUAUUCCCUUCUCCUGCUGUGCUAUAUUAUUUUAAAACUGUACAGGUAAAAAAGAAAAUGUGUGUGAGUGUCAUGAGAUAAUAACACACCUCAAAAGAAAUCAAAUGUUUAGAAACAUCAGAGAUGAGAAUGUCCAAAGUUCAAGAAUAUUCCCUCAUGCCAAUAGUCUGAGGAUAUGGCAGGUGAUGGUGUAUAAUGUACCCAUCUGAUCCUAAUGGAGGUUUCUUGCUCACAGCUCGAGAGGCACACCCUUAUUCAUCUUGAUAUGCCCCUGGGGUUGGGGAGUUCUUCCCAGACACCAAAUCAGAUGAUCAGUUGAAUCGCGCACAUGCGGGUGAGGGAUUCCCUAGCAGUUAAGCAUCUAGGGCUCAAUUCUGUAACUUCUCACUGAAGUUAGGGGGGAGUUAAGGGUAUUCAGAACCUUGCCUAAGAGUGAGAACAUGACUGUUUCUACCCUGCGAUACUGUUGCUGAACAAGGUCCAUUUUUUAAAUUAUAUCCUGGUGGCGGUGAUUCUGCUGGUAUCGCCAAUCAGUCACUGUGUGUGUCUGUGACCUGAGUCACUUCAUGCCCCUGCUCCCUUAGAAAUGCGCAGCAGGUGUCACGUGUCAAUGUAGGAGAUGGCUGUGGAUGCAGUGAAA
Molecule: non-coding RNA, 2193 nt
Organism: Caretta caretta (loggerhead turtle)
Lineage: Eukaryota; Metazoa; Chordata; Testudines; Cheloniidae
Source: the annotation of a RefSeq genome assembly